UACGUAGGGUGCAAGCGUUGUCCGGAAUUAUUGGGCGUAAAGCGCGUGCAGGCGGCCCGCUCAGUCGGCCGUGAAAGCGCCGGGCUCAACUCGGCGAGGUCGGGCGAUACUGGCGGGCUCGAGGCUGGUAGAGGGCGGUGGAAUUCCGGGUGUAGUGGUGGAAUGCGUAGAGCUCCGGAGGAACACCAGUGGCGAAGGCGGGUCUCUGGACAGUUCCUGACGCUGAGGCACGAAGGCCAGGGGAGCAAACGGG
RNAcentral lists this ribosomal RNA (253 nucleotides) under uncultured bacterium. Its description in RNAcentral is "partial 16S ribosomal RNA". It matches the Rfam family "Bacterial small subunit ribosomal RNA", at positions 524 to 776 of the family's 1533-position model. The record is from RNAcentral.